GCCAUAUGGAGAGGGAGAACCAGGUGCCUGAGGGACAUCGAGCUUUCCCAUGUCUUCUUCCUUCCAUUCAACGUUGUUAAGAUUUUGAAGAUUUUUGGCGAUCUGAACUCGUGUGACAUGGACCCUCUGCAACGGACUCUUGGCUUACAUCAACCAUUUUGUUGACCAAGUACCUGUAUUGCGGCAUGAUCCAAGGAGUGGAUCACUGCAUAUAUCCUGACAUGACUGGGUAAGUCACCUUAUUGUAGCAAUUCAAGCAUUUGUCAAUGAACCUUGGCAAGUGUAGUUCAGUGAUGUGGUCUUGCCAUGCUCAGCUCUGUUUAUUAUGCAUCAACGGCCAUCAAUGAUAAGUAAUAAUAUAUUUAGUAAAUAUUAUGAUGUGCAACGCCAACCAUUGGAGUGAUUUAAUGCUUCCAAUUAUGCAUUGUAUAUAUUCAAAUUAUGCACAUGUGAUUUAACGCUUCCAAUUAUGCAUUGUGUAUAUUCAACCAUUGGAGACUUGAAGUAGGAAUUAGUGGAGAAUAGGAAGGUGGAUAGUACAUGGGAACCAAUCAAAUACGUGUAGGUAUGACAUGGUGCUUUUUUUAAUCUCUUGCCGAUGUCAAUAUUUUUCUACAGGUACAUAUAUACAACUGAAUCACAGAAAAAAAUUGAUUAGGUACACCAUAGAAUAGUCUCACAUCUUGGUUUAUUUACUACCCUGUUUAAAUAUCAACCAACAUGCAUGUCAAAUUUAUAAUUUGUUAAUUGCUUGCCUCAAGGCAAUAUAUAUAUAUUCAAUCACUGAGGAUGCAGAAUAAAUUAUUAUUCACAUGUGUGUGUGUGUACUUGGACAGAAACACUCCCAUACCUGAGGUCUCAGUUAAUGUACUGAUGUUGAAUUCUUCUGUCACUCCUGAUACAAAGCUAUAGCUAUACUUCCAUUUGCCAAGAUGAUAAAAUUGGUAAAAUACAGUGAUUUAGUUACUUUCAGAUUUUGGUAUUUUCUGAGAAGUGCUCCACAAAUAUGAACUAAACAAGCUUGUAUUUUCUCUACUCCUAAUGUCUCAGUUGGUAGUCUCGCCUCACCCACCACAUCUCACCACUCCUAUCUUUCGCCCACCACUUCCAUUUGCCACUGAAAUGCUGCUAUUUUAAGAAUUCAAGAGAUUGCCUUUUCAUUUUGUAAAAUAUUCCUGUUUCAUUGUACCAUCUGAAGUGACCAAGCAUGAUCAUGGUUUGCCAUGUAUGAUACAACGAAGUCAUUUUAUUAAGCUGGCAUUAGUAAUUUUGCAUUUUACAUGAUUCGUGUGCAAGUUUGAACGUUAAUAUUAAGUUUAUAAUACUGGCACAGUCUGUUAUUGUUAUCUUCUUGGGAGUACUUGAGAAGGCGCGGCGGGGAAGGUGGGGACACGCCAUGGCAGAGGCCAGUGGCAAACCUACGUGUAAGCCCUGAGGUCCGGGGAAGGUAGCUUUAUUUGGCAAUGCCAAUGAUCAAGUUAGGGAUGCACAAGUCAACCAUGAGAUGUGAGUCACACGGCCAUCUUUCUUUUCCUCAGAAAUUUGUCUCUCCAGUAACAUGGCUCCUUAACAGAACCAACUAUGGUUUGCUAAAUUUAUUUGGAUGGAGGGGUGAUAUUUCCUUUCUUUACAAUAGAUAUAUAUUUAUUUCCCUCUCUAUCCAUGGGCGUUAAUAUAUUUAUUGUAACAAGGUCGGAGACUGAUGUGGAUGCGCAAGGGCAGCGCUGGCCUCUGCCUAGAAGGGCAAUCACAGUGUACAGAGCUCUAGCAGCACUACGCCGUCAUCCUCUGCCUCACCCCGGCCGCAUGAAUUUCAAGAGAUGGUGAGAGUAUCUCUGCAAAUUGUGUAUUUUUUAAUUUAGACCUUUUUGCUCUAAGUGCCAUUGCACGAUUUCGACUUGGCGGUGAUAUUUCUCAAAUGCUGCAAAUUCAAUCUUAAGUUAAAAAUAAAUAACACUGCGUAAUUUAGUAAUGGGAAAUCUACAAGUUCUUAACCAUCCUUGAUUUGAUUAAGUAAGUAUCUGAGAGACAGUAGGUGGAUAUAUUACUAUAAAUGCUUAAACUUUUUAGCCUGUAGCGCUUCCUAAUCAUAAUACUUAUGUAUACUUUUCGGCUCCUACUGAGUUAACCCUGCUACAUCUGUACAUCUGCCUUUGGGUGGUUUUCCCCUUCCUUACAUAUAUGUAGUUCUGUAUUUCCAAGCUAUUGUUAUUGUACUAGACUGAGUGGUUGGGUACGCAUCCCUUUGUUUCGGACAAUUACAGCAAGGAAGUAGGAGGAAGAAGAAAUGCAGGCGACCUCAUGAAAGUCACAGCAGCAAAGAUCCACAGGUGAGCAAUCUUGGUUCCUCUGCUUCUGCACUGCAUAUAUAUUUAUUUUCUAGAAAUCUUCUCUUUUUUGCAAUUUCUGUUAUUUUGCUUACUACAAGUAACAUGAAGAUGCCAUAUGAUUUUGUUCUGUUUGUGAAGAUGGAGAAGUCAGAGGAGGAACCAUGAUUUUUGAACAAGCAUUAGUUUGUGGCUCAUGGAUGAAGAUUGCAAGUACUACUUUGUAACUAAUUUAGCUAAUCGCUCACCAAGUAGGUGAUUUAGCUAAUCGCUCACCAAGUAAUUAAUUUUUAAUCUGAAGUUGUAUAUUGACUGUAGGACAAUAGCAACUCAGUUUUCAACAGCUGCAAAAUACUGAAAUGAUGCUAUUUUAAGAAUUGAAGAGAUUGCAUUUUCAUUUUGUAAAAUAUUCCUGUUUCAUUGUACCAUCUGAAGUGACCAAGCAUGAUCAUGGUUUGCCAUGUACUCCCUCCGUUCGGAAUUACUCGUCCAAGAAAUGAAUGUAUCUAGAUGUAUUCUAGUCGUAGAUACAUCCAUUUUUAUCCAUUUUUGUGACAAGUAAUUUCGAACGGAGGGAGUAUGAUACAACGGAGUCAUUUUAUUAAGCUGGCAUUAGUAGUUUUGCAUUUUACAUGAUUCGUGUGCAAGUUCGAACGUUUGUCGAAUAAUACUAAUAUUAAGUUUAUAAUACUGGCACAGUCUGUUAUUGUUAUCUUCUUGGGAGUACUUGGAAGGCGUGGCGGGGAAGGUGGGGAAACGCCAUGGCAGAGGCCAGUGGCAAACCUACGUGUAAGCCGUGAGGUCCGGUGACCCACAACUUUUUUAUAGCACCCCUUUGUUUUUCCAUAAUUUACUCAUUAGUCCUUGUAACUUGAGAGGGUUGACCCCACAGAUUUCUAAUGACCUCACAGGGUAUUCUUGCUGGCGUCGUCGCUAGCAGAGGCGCAUGGUCGACAGGAAGAGCCGGGGCAUUGACACUUUUCGUGCUACCAACACUACAUACCAGCGUGAGUGAAUGUUAUAGUGGCCUUAGAUGCCCUAUCAAAUUCUUGCUUGACUUUUUGGUUUUGCAUGCUUGGAUGUAUAUUUCAGUUCCUGCAUGAUAUUUCUCAUGUGGAGUUGAAACCACGUUCGUCCAAUAGGAAAUAAUCAUAUCUUUCACUCUGAAAUCAUAUUGCAUAUAGAGUGAUGAUAUGUUCUUGUGCGAAUUACUGCACACAUAUACAUUUAGUUACCUGAAAAGGUCUCACAAUUGGGCUCCUACAAGUAACACUAUCACUCGCUUGUAGUGUUUGCAAAUGGUGAUAAUUGUCAUACUACUCCGUAACAGCCUUACUCGAAUCAGCCUUGACCUUGUAUAAUAUACAUAGUGAUUUGGUGCAUGGUAUUUUUUAGUGAAUUUGAUCAAGAUUUUGUUAUUUUAAGUACAUUUGUACAUUCCGUUGUUUAUUUAAAUAAAUUUCCCAGUAAGUUGAUUUUCCAGCAUGGUCAUAAUGUUGACAUUAUGAAUUGAUUUGUGAAGCACAAAAACACAAUAACAGUUGGGAGGGCUGCUUUAUAUCCCUAGACCCCCACCCACACCUGACCGCCAUCUCCCUCUUUCCUCGGUAUCAUAACCUGAUGCGACGUUGGCGGCGCAG
RNAcentral lists this long non-coding RNA (3967 nucleotides) under Triticum aestivum (bread wheat). RNAcentral describes it as "long non-coding RNA (TAES_LNC022937)". The stretch from base 2787 to 2911 matches the Rfam family "MIR1120/MIR1122 microRNA precursor family". Lineage: Eukaryota; Viridiplantae; Streptophyta; Magnoliopsida; Poales; Poaceae. The record is from RNAcentral.